Triticum aestivum (bread wheat) is the source of this 3211-nucleotide long non-coding RNA. RefSeq lists it as uncharacterized. The transcript is spliced from 11 exons. Lineage: Eukaryota; Viridiplantae; Streptophyta; Magnoliopsida; Poales; Poaceae. The record is from RefSeq and is a predicted model, not a curated record.
UCCCAUCUGACCCGUGGCCCAGGAAGUUCGCUUUUUCGUUCGGUGGGUUCAGGUAGGCAAUUCAAUGCAUGCUCUAGUGACUUCCCGUGCACACGGCGGAGCUCCAUUUGGGACUUGAGGCAGAGUGAGGGAGCGCCGGCGGCGAGGCGACAUUGAGUUCCUAAUGCAGCCCAUACGUGGAUCCACUUUCCUGGAGGAGGCAGGAGAGAGUAUGGUGCCGCCCGCUUUGGCUUCAGCGACGGAGGGGGCUGACAUGGUGGUGGAGCACCUGGUGGUGGAGCACCUGGUGCUGGAGCAAGCAGUGGUAGAGUUAGAACAUGCAGUGGCCAGCGCGGACGCACAAAUCUUGUCAGCCAAGGAGGCGGCGGCGGCGCCGAGGGGAGAGAGCUCUCCGCCAACAUCGGAACUGUCGAUUGGGAAGAUGAAUCCUUGGGCACCUGGAUGGAACAAAAGGCUUAGGAUUGGGGCUGCUGCACCAAGCAGAACACCUUGCCCAAAACCGUGUCAGUGCAUUUGACAGUCUAGCUGGUGAAAUGAAGGACCUGCAUUACGGAGGCCAGCAGCAGUGCCAGCAGCUGGAGUGGUGAGGUGAAAUGCUGGUGAUAGGGUCGAUGCUAUGCUGGGGCAUAUCAGAGUAAGGACAGGUGCCACUGCGUGUGACAGGUAAUGCAGAUCAAAUGGAGGGGUUCCUACAAGAAAUCACAUCGAUGCAUGUAUCUGCUGAAGGUGGGGGAACAACUAUAGAAGAUUCAGAGCAUGAAGGGAUAGGUGGGCAGGGUGGCGCUGUAGUCAAUGCCGCAGCUAUCAAGAAGGAGGAUGAUGGUGUGGGUACGGAUGAAGUUAAGACAGAACGCUCAAGUGUGGUGGACAUUGACAAAGAGCGUGUGACGCAGCUGCAGACAGAGCUAUAUGAAGAAUAUGUGACGGAGGAAGCAUCUCGUCAAGCGAAACGGUAGAUAUCAGUCAUUGCACCAUCAAUGAUUGUGGACAUCAUGGACAGUGAUAGCAACGAUGAUGGCGCAUUUGAAGAGUGGUGAGAUCCUGAACACGACCAGCUAGUGGAGAUUGACAGGAGGAUCAGGGAAAAAAAGCAAUAGAUGCCGAGGUUGCAAAGAAGUGCCAUGAGGACGCAGAAAGACAGGAAAAGGAGCUGGUGGAGAGGCAUGCAGAGGUUGCAAGAACGUGUCAUGAAGAGAUGGAACCGGAGGUAAGGGAGAAAGUGGAGACGGAUAAUGAGGUUGCUCGUAUGCACCAAAACCUGUACUACCAAAAUGCCACAGAUGAGAAGAUCAAGAGGGCGUCUGCUCUAUUUGUUGUCGGACAACUAGUACCUAAUAUUGCUCGGGAAUCAAGUGCAGAGGGAGGCCAAACGCCAGACAUAGGUGUUCACACAAGCUUGGAUGUUGGUCAGCAUGCUCAGCUCACAGGAUCGAACUUUAUGGGUAACUGCCGAACUCAACAUCCUAAGAAAACUAAAAUUUGAUUGUUGUACCAAUUGAUGAAAAAAGUGUCAUUCGCAUCUGAGAGAGGGCAUUGCAGACAGUGCCAGCCCCAGAGGGCAAGACAAUGUGAAGCGGACCAAGCAACGGAGAAGCAAGAGGAGGUCUAAGAGAGCAAGGAGUAAGAAUCGUAGGAAAGUUCGAUUCUCAAACAUGGUUCAGACAAUCUGUCCAACCGAGAGCUCGAAAACUAAUGAUACAAGCAGUUAUGAUGGAAAUGUUGCUAGCGCCGAGGACAAUGGGGGACCAAUCCGUACAAGAGUAAACAACAGCUUAGAGAAUGACAUAUCGAAGCACGGAACAGAGUGCCAGGGGCUGUGGGGCAGGUUGGUGCGACUGUUUCAAACGUGCCAGUUGUUUCAACUCUCAGGAAUGAUUGCACCGCUACUGGUCCCACCGAGCCUAGAGAUGCAUGCAAACAAGGGCGGAUGAGAUUCCUGAAACUAAUGGCACCGUAACAAUAGAUACAUAUUCAUGGGUACAACAGUGUCAGAAGUUGGGGUAAGCUCCAGUCAAGCAGUGGACCAGGUCGACCGUAGGACUGAAGAGGGCACAGAUGAUCAACACACUGUCGCCACAGAGGGAUCAGCGGGAGCACCUCGCCGGCCUGCGAGGAAGAAGAGGAGCUCGCCAUCUUUUUCGAUCUGAUUCUUCCCAGCGGGGGGGGGGGGGGGGGGGCAGCCGACGAAUAUUGUAAUGGAAGGCUACAGGGGUGGGUGCGGUGAUAAAUUAAACGGGUAUGGUUCAAUGCAGUCCGUUUAGUGGCUAACGACGUCUGAGCCAUAGUCCAAGACGCGGGAGCCCCAUCUGAGCCGCCGCUGUGGGGAUGACGGCCAUUGCAUUAAAAGCGGUGGAUGGGUGGGCCAUGGUGUGGGAAAAAGCUGCGCAUACAAGUCUGAAUACAGACUAAAAUACAUGGGGCGAUGCGAAUCUUAGCAGUAGCUAACGGCUAUGAUAUCGAGUCCAUCUGAGCUCGAGCUCAGAAUAGGACUUUCGGUUUAUACUUUCCUUGAAUAGUUGUAUGCUGGAAGUUUGUUCACCAUUACAGCUGCGAUGGGCAAAGAAGACUCGCCAUGUUUCAUAAGGGAUGGUCUGAAAAGACUCUCAACCCUGCCAAUGCACAUAGAUGCGUGGAAGAAAUCAGCCACCCAAGUACCUACAAUGAUGUCUCUAAUCCGGGCCAAGGCUUAUGUGCUAGAAAUGGAUCCAUCUGAGAUGGCUGGCGGGUUUCAAUACGUAUGGUACUCGAUUCACGGCAAAGGACUAUGCCCGCUGCAUGAAAGAAACUCGUGUCUUGGUGAGUCAAUUGGUUCAAGGCCUCGAUCUGAAGAAAUAUCGGGCGGCUUACAAUGAAGAGAACAUGGGAGUUGACCCGCCCACUUUUGACCCUAUCAACUUGACUCCUGCCGGUCGUAAGCACAUAGUUGCUCCUGAUGUUGACCCAUCAAUUAUCAUGCAAGUUGAUGUUAUCUUCCAAGAAUUAACGACCUACAAUUGGAAUCUUGACAACCUUCAGAACCAAGACGAGCUAGCGCAGGAUGAUACGGAAAACAUCAACUGCGGCAGAUGAUCAAGGCGUCAACCCAGAGCAGGUUAACCCGGAUGGUACACGAGCCGUCUUGCAGGAGUAAUGACUCCUAAGAAAACUUUGAUGAUUUAUGUAAGCCCUGCUGUGGCUUUUGUAACAGGAUAGUACAAACUUUGUUGUCUUU